Molecule: long non-coding RNA, 3306 nt
Organism: Gallus gallus (chicken)
Lineage: Eukaryota; Metazoa; Chordata; Aves; Galliformes; Phasianidae
Source: Ensembl
AAUUUGGCACAGGAGUAUAAAAUGAUGGAUCCCAUCUCUGCCCCUCAGCCUCUUUACAAAGUGCAGAGAACCUGUGCAAAAUGAGGCCAUCCAACUGGAGAUUUACUGCAAGACACAGAUGAAGUAGAGGAUGUACCCCUGCACCAGGCAGUCCAGCAGAAAAUAAUGAGUGGUCAGUUGGCUCUGCAGACUGCAGAUAAGGGAAGAAGCAAAGAAAAAUGUUGCUGCCCUAUAUAUCGGAAAGAUCUCCCUUCACAGAAUCAGCUGUCACAGAACUUGGAUCAGCCCUCUUCAUAAAGGCCUCAGCUAAGAGAACAAAACCACGCAGCUCACUCAAGACCAUGCUGGGAAUUGUACUUCUCAACUGUCACCACUGUGUGCCUUUGACACUCUUUGGACUACAAAGAGUGUGGGGAACAAGAAAAGGCCAUCAGAUGCAAGUCUUCCAGAGGUGGAUUCCAGAGGUUGAAGAGGUUAAAAUAAAUGAAGAAUGCAUUUAACUUCAAGAACUUAAGUAAUUCCACUGGAACCAAUAAGACUAUUCAGAACAAUUAUUUCCCUACUACCACAGAUUUGGUCAUCUAGAUGGCAGGUCCAUUAUCCUGCAAAUAAAGGAUUUCUUCUCAGUGGGAAAGUGGAGAAAAGAACAGAGGUGAAGUGAAGAAUAUAAACAAGCAUUUAUGAGUUUUCUUGGCCUAGUGUCCUCCAAAGAGCAGAAAGGCUAAGAGCAGGGACUGGUUCCAAAGCAGUUAUGUUGACAGUGAAGUUGCAGUAUCUUAUUAUAUUUCUGGUAGAAUAUGACAGCCCAAGAGCCAUGACGUUACACAGUACUUCUAGGAUCCUAAGCAUGGCUGCAGCAUUAUAGAGGAUUGUCCUGGUAUAUCUUCAUCAACUACAUCAAGGCUUCUUUUGCCAGAAGAAAUAAAGAAUAUUCUGAAACUACAGAGAGUUCAUAGGCAAUGGGGCAAUACCACGGAAGGAUUAAGUGAACAAAACUUGCUCUCAGAAGCUGACACUGAAUAAAUCCUGAUGAACCCCACGCACACCUUCCAGGAAUGAGAUGACCUGCACCCAUUCCAAACUUGCUGACUGGCUUGACCAAGCCAAUCACUGAAGAAGGCUAUCAGGUUUGCCAAGAAAGAUUUCCCCUGCAUAAAAUCAUGGUGACUGCUCCCAUUUGACUUGUUGUUCUUCAUAUGUCUGGAAACAAUUCCAGCAUCAUUUGUUCUAUCACUUUCCCGGUGAUCAAGUAUAUGAAAGAGACAGAUGAAGUGGAGCCUAGACAUAUUCUGCUGAAGCCUGUGAAAAAGAGCCUGUCUUGGCCUGCACCUCUAGUAUGGCAAAACAUCAUCCAGACAUCAAAGGGAAGAAGAGAGGAACAAAUACAGGAAGGUAAUUUUCAUGGAAAUCCCCUGAACUGUUUUCAUUCCUCUAGUUUCUGUGAUGAACAUUCAGAAGGUUGCCUCCAAUUUAUCAGUUUGAUGAGGGGAAAGAGAUCACAUUCUCCAAAGCUCUGCUCAUUCCAGACCCCCACAAGAAAUGUCAGUAACCAUGGAAGGAAUGUGCAGAUACUCACAGUGAGGUCACUUCCCAUGGUUGCCACCCACUGGAUCAGGCUGCUCAGUGUCCCAUCCAAACUGGCCUUGGACACCUCCAUGGAAGGGACAUCCUCAGCUUCUCUGGGAAGCCUGUACCUCACCACUCUUAAAAUAAAGAAUUUCUUCCAAAUGUCUAAUCUCAAUCUACACUCUUUUAGUUUUAAACCAUUACCCCUUGUCCUAUCACUGCAUUCUCUGUUAAGGAGUGUCUCUCCAGAUUUCCUAUAGGCCACUUUAGGUACUGAAAGACCACAGUGUGGUCUCCAUGGAGCCUUCUUAAAGCUGAACAAGCCCAACUGUCUCAGCCAGUUUUCACAGAAGAGCUCCCACACUGAAGGAUCUCUGUUCACUACCAUGACAGAACCAUAUACUGACCACAGCAUCUUAUAUGGCCACAGUAGAAACUGUCAAAAGCACAGAUUCUUUUUUGAAGAAUGUCAUCUAGGCUGGGUCAAAUUAAUCAAAAUGUAGGUCCUCCUCUUUCUUGGAUACACAAUGGGCAGUGUGUACAGUACAUGAAAUAAAAAAACAGUUCACAUUGUGGUUUUUUGUUUUUUGUUUUUUUUAUCAAUAAGUUCAUGCUUGGUAUAAUGUUGAUAGGUAUCCUUGCCUUAUUUUGACAUGCUUCAAGUGGUGUUGCGAAACAUGAGCACAAAAGUUGACCACAAACAUUGUCACGGUCUUACCUCUAGAACAAUAAUUCCCACAAAAUGUAAUGCCCAUUGAGCAGCAAUACUCAAAUAAAAAGGAAUUUUAUAAACAGAGCUUAGAAAGUCCAUUAACUGGGAUGCAGCAAGUGGGCUUCAGUGAAGACUGGUGCUCUGCAGUUCUUUCAUUGCUGAGGGCAGCAUUACUGGAAACAUCUUCAGUUUAUAUCCCUGUAAACAGAUUUCUGUGCUAAGGAUAAACGAACUGGGAGCUACACUCUCCCCAUGGCUGUUUGGCCAGUAUGAGUCCAUUUCAUCUUGUGUGGGGCAUUUGUGAAAUAGAGCUGCCGAAGCAUUUCCAUGAAAGUCAGUGAUUGCCUAAUCCCUUGCAAGUGUACUCUUCAGAAGUUAGACCAAUUUCGGCUUCUCUUUUAUUUGCGAACAUUGCAGCAAAUCUUUCCUUCUUGUUUUUGGUCUCCAGCCCACUCUAAUUCCAGUGACUCAUACUGUGGUGAAAAUAGGUUAUGUGACAGACAGAAAUGUUGGUUUUACUGUUUCAGAGAUAAAAGAAGUACAGUUUGAGCCCUCUGUGUGUGACCCAAGGUAGCAAGUGCUUAGGUAUUUGCCGCAUGAAGACUAAAUGCAUACAGCUACAAUGUGAGUAGUCUGGCAUGGGAGAAGUGAGGAUGCAUUCUGCAUUGACUUUUCUCCCCAGGAGGGACAGAGAAAUAAGGGAAAGGGAAGAAGAGAAGGGGAUGGCAUCUCUUUAGGUUUCUCUCAACUCCACUUUCCUUAAUGUACAAUACAUACUGAAAUACAUGCUGAAAUGAUUUGGAGAAUGUGCAUCUGUUAUUAAUGUGACAUUUCAGGGCACUGAUAAUUUGACUCUGGAAGUGAUUUUAGUUAGAAGGCCUCAUUAUGUAUCUUUCCCUCACUUGCGGAAGUGGAGUUGUGGUGAAGGAGAUUCUGUGCAAGAAAUGCCAACUACAAGACAGGAGGUCUCAAUAAAUUUACAAGAAAAGUCAAGCUAUGAUUAAAGAUGUGUCAUCGAGCUCUCUCAU